Long non-coding RNA from Cyprinus carpio carpio, 943 nucleotides. NCBI's taxonomy places the organism in Eukaryota, Metazoa, Chordata, Actinopteri, Cypriniformes, Cyprinidae. The record is from Ensembl.
UAAGGGGACCCUGCUACACCCUUUCCUACCAUACAACUGAUGGACACUGACUGUAAAAAUGGCGAUCAUAGGAGGAGGGUUCAGUGUGGUGACAGAAGAUGGAAUAGACGUGUGCCAGUGCACCAGCCUGGAUGAAGCCUUCAUAACAGCCUUCUGGAUGUAUUUUGCUUUCAACAUUGCAUAUCCACCACACCUGAGAAAGACACUGACUUUCCUUCAGAGGCACAGUCAACAUUAGAAGAGGGAGACAAGCACUGCCAGUAACUUUACUCUGAAUGAUUAGCCUUUUGUAUUAGAUCCUCAUGCCUCAACUGUACCAUUGCCCAAAGUGCACUCGAAGGACAUUCACUCUUUUGAAGUUAAUCCAACAUGUUGAACCAAAAAUUAGUAUAACCUAUGGUGUAGAUGAGUGCCAGUCACCUUUUUUGUGAUUCCAUUCUUUUAGAAAACAUGCACAGGCAGGAAGUCUGUCAGUCCAGAUGUGAGGAAGACAGAGUGAGUUUGAGCUCAGCAGGUGUGAUGGCUGUGGAUGCAUCUACAAAAACACCACUGGAUACUGUAGCCAUGGAAAGAAGGGGGUCUUCACAGCUUUCUAUUCAGACAAAGAGUUUGCUGGAUUCUGUUCUAUGGACUGCUACUACAGAAUGAAUGAAUAAGUGGUUUAUCUAUCUAUCUAUCUAUCUAUCUAUCUAUCUAUAUAUUUUUACUUAAAUUGGCGACUGAAACUGAAAGCUAAAUAAAUGUUUUAGUGGAUAAAGCUGUGUCUGUUUGCUUAAUUGGUUAAUGUCACUUAACAUAAGGUUACUAAACUUUUCUGACUAAUUUUUAAAUUUUAUAAUUUAGUGGUUUUGUCAACUAUAUAUUUUUCUUUAUCAGGCAAAACAUAACCUAAACUUGCGUUGGUGAUGACGUCAGUAACCCACACCAUACAGAAGAUUUGAAG